UGUUUUUUAACAAAAUAGGCUAGAAUGGAAUAGAACAUAAAAAUCAGAGUACACAUCUAGUGUGGACAAGAAAUUGCUUUGUGAAAUUUUUUGUUUCAUUUGUGGAGAAGGUGACUGAUAUUCACAUUGGAAACAAAUAGCCAGGAUUAUACAAAUUCUUAUCUGACUAGCUAUAACUCCUAUCAACCACUCUCAAAAAAAGAAAAAAAAUCAGAUUGCACGUUCAUGAAAAUGAAGAUAUUAUGGGACCACAAAUAUUGCAUGUGAUGACAAACUUCUAAUGAGCUGCAUUAAACUUUUUCAUCAAAUGUAUUCACUAUGGAUUUCCAGUGCUCAAUUGAGAUAUGUAAGUUAACUGAGAAUUCUUAAAUACAAUAUUCUUCUAUAAUACAUACUUCAUAUUUUAUGUCUCUUCUAACUCCUUUUGAAACCAUGUAGGGAUAAAUUAUCAAACUGAGAGGGAAAAUUAGUACUUGUUCAAGAAUUUUUAAAACUGUAUUUUUAUCCUAUCUCUGCUACCACCUCUCUGGCUAGUCUUGGGACAGGGAACUUUGACUUCUUGAUAUCUAAUUUCCUCAUCUGUAAUAUUAAGAAUAACUGACACAAUAAACUGUGCAAUUUAAAGUCUAAUUUGAUAAGUUUUGACAUAUGUAUUCAACUGUGAACUGUCGCUACCAUAGUUCAAAAUAGUGAACUAUUCCCCAAAGGUUUUUUUUGUGCCGCUUUGUAUUUCCUUCUUCCUGUCUCUUGGCCCUCCCAGUCCUCUCCUGUCUUCCAGUAACCACUGAUGUGCUUUCAGUCACUACAGAUUAGUUUGCAUCUUCCAGAGAAAAACACAUUUUAAGCUCACUAGUUUGAGACUAAAAUGAGGUAUAGAAUAACUUUAAUUAUUUUUAAAUAUUAAACUUUUGUUUUUUGACAUUCCCC
Long non-coding RNA from Suricata suricatta (meerkat), 927 nucleotides. The record is from Ensembl. NCBI's taxonomy places the organism in Eukaryota, Metazoa, Chordata, Mammalia, Carnivora, Herpestidae.